AUGGCUUGUCCGUAUUUGCAAUGAUUCAGUAUCCGGCACUGCUCAUCCCAUUUCUAAAAAUGGUAUUGGAGAGUUACAGGGUAUUCAGAGGCGAAGGGAAUGACUGAAGAAUGCGGGGAAACACCUCUUCAUUUUGAGGCAAGGACUGGGUCUGCAGGUCAUCGUAGAGACUGCUGCAGAUCACUGCUUCUGUGUGCUUCUCCACUGCCUAAGGGACAUUCACCAAGACCAAAUCCAAGUAGUCUCUGCUGUCUGAGGUUCAUCUGCCCCAUUCCAAGGUUAAUUCAGGACUACAACAAUCCUUUCUCAGUGGUGUUCCUCUUAUAACUACCUACUAUGGCAUGGAGACACCCUUACAUGGAGGAGGAGUGAUGAGGUGAGUGUGAUGCCAUGAGAACUACCCUCACUGCAUCCCUGUCUGUGCCUUCCCUACCAAGACCAGUCCACUGUGGGGGAAUCCCUACAGCCUCUCCACAGCCCUGUUCGGAGGCAUUUAUCUUUGUCCCAAAGUUAUCCUCUGGGUAACUUCACCAUCAAGGCCUUUUCAUUAUUAGCAGGCUCCUUUGAUUCACCAGCAUCAUAGAAUCAUAGAAUGACUUGGGUUGAAAAGGACCACAAUGAUCAUCAAGUUUCAACCCCCCUGCUAUGUGCAGGGUCACCAACCACCAGACCAGGCUGCCCAGAGCCACAUCCAGUCUGGCCUUGAAUGCCUCCAGAUGGGGCAUACACAGCCUCCUUGGGCAACCUGUUCCAAUGCUUCACAACCUUCUGAGUGAUCAUCUAAAGCACAGUCAUUAGUUAGAAAAGACCCCUAAAAUUGUGUAGUCCAACUGCCAAUGCCCACCGAACCAUGCCCCUCAGCGCCACAUCUCCACAUUUACUGAACACCUCCAGGGACAGUGACUCCACCACCCACCACCACCACUCCCAAAUCGUCUCCCAUUUCUGACCCUUCUCUAUCCUGAUGUGGGAGUAAGGGAGCCAAGACACAGCCUGCCCUUUGGCAUUUCCCUGCAGAAGGCUUCCCCUGCCCUGCCAGGCAGCGGCCACGGAGCAGAGCACUGCUUCCCACACCUCCCUGUCUUCUUCUUACUCUUCGUUUCUUCUUCUUUUUUUUUUUUUCUUUUUCUUUUUUUUUUUUCCCUGUCGUUGCUUUAAAGGGAGCACCCCAUCCACCCGGCUGCUGCUGCUCUAAGGACGUACAGCCCUACGCUGCCCGGAGAAAAAAAAAAAAAA
This 1236-nucleotide long non-coding RNA is filed under the name Gallus gallus (chicken). Its description in RNAcentral is "lncRNA (ENSGALG00010003961.1)". The record is from RNAcentral. Lineage: Eukaryota; Metazoa; Chordata; Aves; Galliformes; Phasianidae.